GCAUUAAUGGGGUAGUGGUAACCUGGGUCGUUGCCAUGCUUCGACUAGUUCGACCCGCCGGGAGUUCGAUUCUCUCUUAAUGCA
Blastosporella zonata is the source of this 84-nucleotide non-coding RNA. The record is from the annotation of a GenBank genome assembly. Lineage: Eukaryota; Fungi; Basidiomycota; Agaricomycetes; Agaricales; Lyophyllaceae.